Octodon degus (degu) is the source of this 384-nucleotide long non-coding RNA. RefSeq lists it as uncharacterized. The transcript has 3 exons. NCBI's taxonomy places the organism in Eukaryota, Metazoa, Chordata, Mammalia, Rodentia, Octodontidae. The record is from RefSeq and is a predicted model, not a curated record.
CCAGGGCUGUGCUCAUAUGCUGACCCGGAGAUUAACCACAGAAGAAUCCUCUGCUGGCUCUGGGAGCAGAGACAUCAGAACCCCAAGUUCUCUGGCCUUCAGACUCCAGGGCUUGGCCAGCAGCUUCCUGUGUCCUUGGGCCUAUGACCUUGGAAUAGGCAUUGCUUCCAUCACUUUCCCUCAAUCUAGAAUUGAACUGAAGCUGGCUACUGACUUCCUUGGCUCGCCAGGUUGCAGAUGACAUGCUGCGGGAUUCCUCAGCCUCCAAGCUCACAAGGACUAAUGCCUUUCAGUCAUCACCUCUUCAACAUGAGACUCUCAGCUACUAAGCAGUGGCCCUGGCGGCUCAAGUGAGAGGCUAAGCAAGUUUCUCCCCUUGACAUC